AUUUAAUGAACGUCUUUUGUAUUUCACUGGUUAUACGAGAUAUUUUUCAUACCUAAUUUUCAUAACAGAGUUUUGAAAUAUGGAUUUUACCAUUCCUUUUUAUGGAUGAGAGAAACUGAGGCUUAAAAUGAUUAAGCUGAUUGCCUUGUGUCAUGGAGAAUUAAUAUGUAGUAGAGAUGAGAUUUGAGCCCAUAUCUUUCUGAUUAAAAAAUCUAUUCUCUUUCUACUUCAUCACAAUAUGUGGUUAAUUUCUUUAGUGCCUGGAUAAGCACUGAAUUACAGGGGGAAUGUAAUGAUUAAAUUUUUGCUGGAGUUGUGUUACUAAAUGCAUUUUGAUUUCUGCUUAACAAGAGCCAAUUUUUUGAACAAUAGGCAGUGAUAUGGGAAAUGAUGAUGCCAUCGGAGGGAAUGUGAGCAAAUAUGUGGUGCUUCCAACUGGAUACUGUGGACAGCCCAAGAAAGGACAUCUUAUCUUUGAUGCUUGCUUUGAAAGUGGUAACCUUGGACGGGUGGACCAGGUCUCUGAGUUUGAGUAUGAUUUAUUUAUUAGGCCGGACACCUGUAAUCCUCGCUUCCGAGUCUGGUUCAACUUUACUGUUGAAAAUGUGAAAGAAUCACAGGUGAGAGAAAUAGUGGAUCCCCUUCAGUGUGGUUUUGGUAAGAAGAUUAUGCUUUUGUUUUAUUUUAGGAAUAUCAUAAUAAUGACUAUAGUAGAACUAUCUUCUUUUAUAUGUACAGUAAUGAUAUUUUAUUUCAAGAAGUAUAGAAUAACAGGUAUAAUAUACUGGCUUUUGUUAUCUGUUGGUUAUUAAAAAUACAAGCAGAUUAUGUAAGAACACAGUGUUCUUUACGAUUGCAGCUUUAGCAUGAUGUACUAGACUUCCAUGGGGGAAGCCUAUAAGGAACCACUGGAAGUGACUUUAUUAUACAGUGCUGUUCUGUAUAUCUUUUCUUCACAGGACUCAUUUCACAAACAGAUUUUCUUCACCUAUAUAACAAGGUGUUUAUAUCUUAAAAGCAAUAUGAUUCUUAUAAUUCAUCCUGCUUUUCACUUUAUUUGGCUAUUGCACAACUCAGAGUCAAUUUUAUAGCCCACGUUAAUGACUCUGGAAAAAUUUUUUACUUGUGCUUUUGUAUACUAAGUUUUCUGUUAUUCUAAUAGUAUUUAGGUUGGUGCAAAAGUAUUCAUGGUUUUGCAUUGUUAAACUUUGCCUUUUUAUAUUGGAAUACAUUCUUUAAUAAAAGUGGUUAUUUGAAUGCACAUUUCUCACUUUGUCUUUUUGCUAAUGACUUAUUACUUGCUGUUUAUUUUAUAUUUAUUUUAGACUAGGGAAAUAAUAUUAGGCAAAAAGCAAAGUUGAGUAAUUUUCUUAUUCAAGCUGAGAAUGGUCAUCAAGCAGCAGAGACAAUUCGCAACAUCAAGAAUGCAUUUGGUCUAGGAAUUGCUAACAAAUGUACAGUGCAGUGGUGGUCCAAGAAAUUCUGCAAAGGAGACAAGAGCCUUGAAGAUGAUGAGCGCAGUGGCUGGCUAUUGGAAGUUGACAAUGACCAACCUGAGAAAUUGCCAAAGAACUCAGUGUGGACCAUUCUAUGGUCAUUCAGCAUUUGAAGCAAAUUGGAAAGAUGAAAAAUCUCAGUAAGUGGGUACCCAUGAGCUGAAUGCCAAUCAAAAAAACAAAAAAAGAAUAAUCACUUUGAACUGUUGUCUCCUUUUAUUCUAUGCAACCAACUAUUUCUUGCUUGGAUUGUGUCCUGCAAUGACAAGUGAAUUUUAUACGACAGCCAGUGAUGACCAUCUCAAUGACUGGACCAAGAAGCUCCAAAGCACUUCCUAAAGCCAAACUUGCACCAAAAAAGGUCAUGGUCACUGUUUGGUGAUCUGCUGCCCAUCUGAUCCACUGCAGCUUUCUGAAUCCAGGUGAAACCAUUGCAUCUGAGAAAUAUGUUCAGCAAAUCAAUGAUAUACACUGAAAACUGCAAUGCCUGCAGCCAGCAUUGGUCAACAGAAAGAGCCCAAUUCUUUUCCAUGAAAACAUCCAAUUGCACGUUGCACAACCAAUGCUUGAAAAGUUGAAAGAGUUAGUCUACAAAGUUUCGCCUCAUCCACCAUAUUCGCUUGACCUCUUGCCAAUGGACUACCAUUUCUUCAAGCAUCUUGACAGCUUUUUGCAGGGAAAAGGCUUACACAACCAGCUGGAGGUAGACAAUGCCUUUCAAGAGUUUGUCAAAUCCUAAAGCAUGGAUUUUUAUGCUACAGGAAUAAAUAAACUUAUUUCCCAUUGGCAAAAACUGUGUUGAUUAUAAUGGUUUCUAUUUUUAUUAAUAAAGCUGUGAUUGAGCCUUGUUAUAAUGAUUUAAAAUUCAUGGUCUGAAACCACAAUUACUUUGCACCAACCUAAAUAAUAUGAAUCUAUC
This is a long non-coding RNA of Capra hircus (goat), 2415 nucleotides long. The record is from Ensembl. Lineage: Eukaryota; Metazoa; Chordata; Mammalia; Artiodactyla; Bovidae.